RNAcentral lists this long non-coding RNA (614 nucleotides) under Triticum aestivum (bread wheat). RNAcentral's name for it is "long non-coding RNA (TAES_LNC006872)". Lineage: Eukaryota; Viridiplantae; Streptophyta; Magnoliopsida; Poales; Poaceae. The record is from RNAcentral.
CAUGAUGUUAUAUUAGCGUGAACUUCUCACAAAAAUUAAACGGACACAAAAGAUAACAAAACCAUCGCUGUUUGUACACAAGAAAAACAUAUUUUGACAUGUUUUGGCCAUAUGAUAAGAUGUUUGGCCAUAUGGUAAGAUGUUGGACAUUAGAGUUGGACUGCGGUAGGCGGGUUUGUUGAACGGGCGCACAUGGCCAGAACAGAGAAACCACGGGUUGAGGCAACACACUGGCGGCGAUGGCGGUUGGGCCGCUGACGAGAGGAAGCUCAUGCGGUGGCUGCGACGAGCUUGUGGAGAGAGGUGUGCAUGAGCGUGGGCUCCAUUUUCAGCUGUGCUUCCCUUGUUGUCGCUGCUCACCUAGAGCUUCACUCAGUCAAAGAGCGGAGACCUGAAGUUCAGACCCCAUAAGCCAAUACAGAAACAUUUUUUUGUAGUUAAUUUUUUGGGCAAAUUCAAAGAAGUUCAAAUCCUAAAGAAGAGACAGAGAUUAUUGAAGACAGAGAGAGAUCAGGGAGAGGGAGGGAGAGGAAAUACCUGCAACAUCGGUGUUCGUCGUCGUGGUCAGAGUUCAGUGGGGCACCGGUGCGUGGUGGAGGCAGGUAGCGUCGGGA